CCUACGGGAGGCAGCAGUGGGGAAUUUUGGACAAUGGGGGAAACCCUGAUCCAGCCAUUCCGCGUGAGUGAAGAAGGCCUUCGGGUUGUAAAGCUCUUUCGGCAGGAACGAAACGGCGGACUCUAACAUAGUCUGUCAAUGACGGUACCUGAAGAAGAAGCACCGGCUAACUACGUGCCAGCAGCCGCGGUAAUACGUAGGGUGCGAGCGUUAAUCGGAAUUACUGGGCGUAAAGCGUGCGCAGGCGGUUUUGUAAGACAGGGGUGAAAUCCCCGGGCUUAACCUGGGAACUGCACUUGUGACUGCAAGGCUGGAGUACGGCAGAGGGGGAUGGAAUUCCGCGUGUAGCAGUGAAAUGCGUAGAUAUGCGGAGGAACACCGAUGGCGAAGG
Molecule: ribosomal RNA, 391 nt
Filed under: uncultured Rhodocyclaceae bacterium
Lineage: Bacteria; Pseudomonadati; Pseudomonadota; Betaproteobacteria; Rhodocyclales; Rhodocyclaceae
Description: partial 16S ribosomal RNA
Rfam family: Bacterial small subunit ribosomal RNA
Source: RNAcentral